This 92-nucleotide transfer RNA is filed under the name Clostridiaceae bacterium. RNAcentral describes it as "tRNA-Ser". It matches the Rfam family "tRNA". From Rfam's summary of the family: Transfer RNA (tRNA) molecules are approximately 80 nucleotides in length. Their secondary structure includes four short double-helical elements and three loops (D, anti-codon, and T loops). Further hydrogen bonds mediate the characteristic L-shaped molecular structure. tRNAs have two regions of fundamental functional importance: the anti-codon, which is responsible for specific mRNA codon recognition, and the 3' end, to which the tRNAs corresponding amino acid is attached (by aminoacyl-tRNA synthetases). tRNAs cope with the degeneracy of the genetic code in two manners: having more than one tRNA (with a specific anti-codon) for a particular amino acid; and 'wobble' base-pairing, i.e. permitting non-standard base-pairing at the 3rd anti-codon position. RNAcentral also lists the same sequence under 1 other name. Lineage: Bacteria; Bacillati; Bacillota; Clostridia; Eubacteriales; Clostridiaceae. The record is from RNAcentral.
GGAGAAGUACCCAAGCAGGUCGAAGGGGACGGUUUGCUAAACCGUUAGGUCAGGUAACUGGCGCAAGAGUUCGAAUCUCUUCUUCUCCGCCA